Molecule: non-coding RNA, 1194 nt
Organism: Chelonoidis abingdonii (Abingdon island giant tortoise)
Lineage: Eukaryota; Metazoa; Chordata; Testudines; Testudinidae
Source: RefSeq, a predicted model, not a curated record
CCACAAGGAGCCACGGUUGUGAGAAUGGGGGCAACACCUGGACCUCUCUGGCCCAGGGACCCGGCCAGCCGCUGGCAGCCCUCACCCACCCUGGAGACACGAUAACACAGAGCUACCCAGGGACAAACACCUUGGCCCACAGACUGUCAGCGCAGAGGGCAGGCCCAGGCUGCAGGCUCUAUUGCACUGUGAAAUGUGCAUGCGCCAUCCUGAAUUUAGUGCCUGCCGCCCUCUCGGGGCCAGGCCUAGCGGCCCAAGAGUCUGCUACUUAGCAAACCCUAGGAGAGAUGCUCCUUGAGCUUAAGGAGUCGGGGCUUGUGCUUCGGGCAGUGAAAGGGCCUGGCUCCUGCCGUGUACGUCUGGGUUCAUCACAGACCUGCCUGCAUUGAAUUCUCCUGUAACAUGACGUCCUGUCCUCACUGUGCAAUUGCUCCCUAACUGCAAGGGUGCAGGGUAAGCCAGGAACAAGCUCCCACAAGCCCUGAGGAGCCGGACCACCCCUUGCCUGUCCCCAGAGCAGCCAGGCUGUUGUGGCCUACACAGCCGGGGGUCCUCCUUUGAAAUCCCUUGUUCCCAGUCACGGCGCGCAGUAAAUCAGAGAUGAGGGCCGGCAGGGGCGGAGCUCUUGAUCCUUUGUAUUUCUCUGGAGACACAGAACGCAGCGGGGAAAAGGCAUCACAGCCAUUGCAGCCCCCAGGGUACCCGCUCCCCUUGCCCCCACUGAUGCAGGAAGCGUUGUCAAGGUGCACACAGUCUCCAUGCAACAGUAGGAACCAGCUAGGUGACAAAACACACAGUGCCAGGCAUGAUGCCCGCUCUGCUGGCUGGGCAGUGGCUGGCUGAAGGGAGGUGGGCUUAGGAGCAGCCCUAAGCGGAGGCAGCGGCACCCAGCAGCAACAGUCAUUGCAUGUGCCAGCCGCCUGCUUUACAGAAGCUCCCUGCAUGGGAGGAAAACCCGUGGGAUGCAGCCCCCGCCCUGAGCGAUGGGCAGGGAACCUGCCAAAGGUGCCAGGCGUAGCGGUGCCAACAUACGAAGUCUUUUCAAUUAAAAUAUAACAUUUACCUGUCCCCUCUCCCCCCCAGUGGGCUAGCUGAGAUUUUUCUCAUUUGUAUCAUUCCUCCUGCCUCCGCAAACUGAGGUAUGUGUCCGCGGGUGGGAAGGGAGAGUGGGGGGGCAGCUGUAGGGCCUGGCAU